Molecule: transfer RNA, 74 nt
Filed under: Shewanella piezotolerans WP3
Lineage: Bacteria; Pseudomonadati; Pseudomonadota; Gammaproteobacteria; Alteromonadales; Shewanellaceae
Description: tRNA-Cys
Source: RNAcentral
UAAGCACAAAUUGUUUGGCCGAUUUAAUAGAGAUCAUUUUAUUGCCGACUUAAGCCCAAUUUUUGCGAUUGCGG